RNAcentral lists this ribosomal RNA (453 nucleotides) under uncultured bacterium. RNAcentral's name for it is "bacterial SSU rRNA". It matches the Rfam family "Bacterial small subunit ribosomal RNA", at positions 340 to 786 of the family's 1533-position model. The record is from RNAcentral.
UACGGGAGGCAGCAGUGGGGAAUAUUGCACAAUGGGCGCAAGCCUGAUGCAGCCAUGCCGCGUGUAUGAAGAAGGCCUUCGGGUUGUAAAGUACUUUCAGUCGUGAGGAAGGUGUUAAGGUUAAUAACCUUAGCAAUUGACGUUAGCGACAGAAGAAGCACCGGCUAACUCCGUGCCAGCAGCCGCGGUAAUACGGAGGGUGCGAGCGUUAAUCGGAAUUACUGGGCAUAAAGGGCACGCAGGCGGUUAAUUAAGUUGGAUGUGAAAUCCCCGGGCUUAACCUGGGAAUGGCAUUCAAGACUGGUUAGCUAGAGUCUUGUAGAGGGGGUAGAAUUCCAUGUGUAGCGGUGAAAUGCGUAGAGAUGUGGAGGAAUACCGGUGGCGAAGGCGGCCCCUGGACAAAGACUGACGCUCAUGUGCGAAAGCGUGGGGAGCAAACAGGGAUUAGAUACC